GCGAGAGAUGCUUUUCCCUCCUGGAAUUUUCUCUACUUUUAGAAAACGUGUGCUUAACUUGUAGAUGUGGUUGCCAGUGCUGGUCAGAAUCAGAGAUGUGCACUGGCAAGACAGAAAACUAUACUCUGAGGACUAUGUGAUGUAAGAAGUGCCUGGAAAUGGAAGAGUGGAACCAGACAUGGUUUUUUUUUCAAAUGAACAUAGGAAAAUGGAGUGGCUACUGUUGUUGCCUUGUGCACAUUUCCCUGUGUGGGCUCAAAGACUCAAUGACCUCUACUAUAAGCACCUGUGACAUUUGCCUGAGGAC
Molecule: non-coding RNA, 307 nt
Organism: Heterocephalus glaber (naked mole-rat)
Lineage: Eukaryota; Metazoa; Chordata; Mammalia; Rodentia; Bathyergidae
Source: RefSeq, a predicted model, not a curated record